GAUCAUGCUCAGGAUGAACGCUAGCUACAGGCUUAACGCAUGCAAGUCGAGGGGCAUCAGGAAGAAAGCUUGCUUUCUUUGCUGGCGACCGGCGCACGGGUGAGUAACACGUAUCCAACCUGCCCUUUACUCGGGGAUAGCCUUUCGAAAGAAAGAUUAAUACCCGAUAGCAUAAUGAUUCCGCAUGGUUUCAUUAUUAAAGGAUUCCGGUAAAGGAUGGGGAUGCGUUCCAUUAGGUUGUUGGUGAGG
RNAcentral lists this ribosomal RNA (249 nucleotides) under uncultured bacterium. RNAcentral describes it as "partial 16S ribosomal RNA". It matches the Rfam family "Bacterial small subunit ribosomal RNA", at positions 15 to 257 of the family's 1533-position model. The record is from RNAcentral.